ACUUGAGAGACCUUCUCUCGAUCAGUUUAUACACUCAACGCUGUACCAACAUCUCGCAGCUUCUGAGACAAGUACGUAGCAAAAGAAGAACGGAACCUACACCAUGUCUAUGGUUUGGUUUGUUGUGACAUUUGCUGUAUGCAUUCUGUGGAAGCUAGUUAUACAACGCUGGUUUAAGGAGCGAAGCCUUCCUAUCGGGACCGUGCAUCCUCCAAUGCCGCCUGUGAGCACUAUUUUCGGACACGAAGAACUCAACUGGCCUUAUUUCCACUGCACGAAAGCAGCCGAAUGGGCCAAGGAGUACGGGCCUGUGUAUCGAUUGACCCUGAAUUUUACCAAUGUGGUUGUGCUCAGCAACGCACACAGUAUCAAGACAUUUUGUAAGAAUAACGACGGUCUGUUUCGUUCUGGUUGUUUUAUCGUCGGUCGCGACUACAACCAAGGAAUCGUAACGCUAAACGGGGAAUGCUGGACAGCGAACAGAAGGUAUUGCCUGAGCGUGCUGCGCGACCUUGGUUUUGCAAAAUCUUCGAUGGAGCAGCGCAUGACGGAUACCUUCCGUGAAUUUGAGGCCUGUAUAGGCGAUACAAAAGGCCAGCCUGUGAGCAUUCGCCCGAUCCUCAUUUCCUGCUUCACCAAGAAUGUCACGUCUUUUUUUUAUCCUAACGGUCUUCUCGGUGGGGACAAAGCUUUAUGUAAGGUGACCAGAAUCCUCGACGCACUGAAAGCCUUAAUGAUGGGAGGUACAAACAAUGAUUUAUUGCCUACCUUUAUCCGAAACCUGCUCUACUAUAUUCCUUCCUCAAGGAAUGCACAAGUGGAGCGAAAUAUGAAUGAACUGGAUAACUUUAUUCGAGACCAGAUUGAAAGCUACAAGUCCAACACGAAUGAAAAUGAUGAACGAGGAUUCAUUGAAGCCUAUAUGAAGAAAAUUGAAGAAGCGAGACAGGAGCCAUUACCAAAGUUUCAAG
Molecule: non-coding RNA, 971 nt
Organism: Dermacentor albipictus
Lineage: Eukaryota; Metazoa; Arthropoda; Arachnida; Ixodida; Ixodidae
Source: RefSeq, a predicted model, not a curated record